UACAGAGGGGGCAAGCGUUGUUCGGAAUUACUGGGCGUAAAGGGCGCGUAGGCGGCCUUCUAAGUCGAACGUGAAAUCCCCGGGCUCAACCCGGGAACUGCGUCCGAGACUGGAAGGCUCGAAUCCGGGAGAGGGAUGCGGAAUUCCAGGUGUAGCGGUGAAAUGCGUAGAUAUCUGGAGGAACACCGGUGGCGAAGGCGGCAUCCUGGACCGGUAUUGACACUGAGGCGCGAAAGCCAGGGGAGCAAACGGG
RNAcentral lists this ribosomal RNA (253 nucleotides) under uncultured bacterium. Its description in RNAcentral is "partial 16S ribosomal RNA". It matches the Rfam family "Bacterial small subunit ribosomal RNA", at positions 524 to 776 of the family's 1533-position model. The record is from RNAcentral.